RNAcentral lists this ribosomal RNA (264 nucleotides) under Triticum aestivum (bread wheat). RNAcentral's name for it is "partial small subunit ribosomal RNA". The record is from RNAcentral. Lineage: Eukaryota; Viridiplantae; Streptophyta; Magnoliopsida; Poales; Poaceae.
ACCAUAAAUCACCUAACUCUAGGGUGUGUGCUUGCCAGGCAUGUCUGGGCAGUUAUAAUGGACAACUGGGAAAAGCCGGAGUGGAUGCCUCAUCCGGAUGCAAGCCUUGUGGAUUGGUGGACAACGCUCAACCCCCCAAGGUAGUUCAGAUAAGAAAUAUGGACCAUGAUCGUUCUGGUGGCUUGGAUGUCGUGGAAGCAUAGAAAUGACAUAGUGUGUAACAGUGCAUCACCCUCACGGGAUGACGUGCUCAAACAGAUUUAG